This 453-nucleotide unclassified non-coding RNA is filed under the name plant metagenome. Its description in RNAcentral is "partial contains small subunit ribosomal RNA, internal transcribed spacer 1, and 5.8S ribosomal RNA". The record is from RNAcentral.
UUUCCGUAGGUGAACCUGCGGAAGGAUCAUUUCCGAAACAAACAUAUAUACCAACCCACGGUGUGCAAUACGUUUCUGGCUGUAAAAUUAUUUUGCCUCUUCCUUCUAUUUCUUUCUUUCUUCUUUUCUUUUUUGCUCUUCUCUUCGGAGAGAGUAAGAGAGUAAGAGAGUAAGAGAGAGGAGAAAUGAAGAGGAGGAGCAUAAUUUGCAUCCACUUUUAUAUUAUAUGACAAUCUCUGGAUUGUCAUGUAAUUCUCUUUUUCUUAUUUUUUAAAAAAAGAGAAACAAACCCACGAACCACCAAGAAAGACAAAAGUGAGCCGCCUGGCUAAGGCCGGCCUCAAGUUUCUCUUUCUAUUGGUUUUCUACAAAUAUUUUAACACUGUUUUUUCUAUCAUAGAAAAAACACAAUAAAUGAUACGACAACUUUUAACGGUGGAUCUCUUGGCUCGU